GGGGCUGUAGCUUAGUGGUAGAGUGCCAACUCGGGGUGCUCCCCCAGAGUUUCUCACCGUUUGAACGUGAAUGUGAACGUCAGCACGAUCAGCAGCAACCUUCUCAACGUCGGGGACAAGAACAGUCAGAGACGUAAUAGUCCGAUAAGAAUCUGAAAGACCUCUGGGGCGCACCCCGAGUGAGAGACGCGGGUUCGAUUCCCGCCAGCUCCA
Molecule: transfer RNA, 213 nt
Filed under: Klebsormidium nitens
Lineage: Eukaryota; Viridiplantae; Streptophyta; Klebsormidiophyceae; Klebsormidiales; Klebsormidiaceae
Rfam family: tRNA
About the family: Transfer RNA (tRNA) molecules are approximately 80 nucleotides in length. Their secondary structure includes four short double-helical elements and three loops (D, anti-codon, and T loops). Further hydrogen bonds mediate the characteristic L-shaped molecular structure. tRNAs have two regions of fundamental functional importance: the anti-codon, which is responsible for specific mRNA codon recognition, and the 3' end, to which the tRNAs corresponding amino acid is attached (by aminoacyl-tRNA synthetases). tRNAs cope with the degeneracy of the genetic code in two manners: having more than one tRNA (with a specific anti-codon) for a particular amino acid; and 'wobble' base-pairing, i.e. permitting non-standard base-pairing at the 3rd anti-codon position.
Source: Rfam by way of RNAcentral